RNAcentral lists this ribosomal RNA (700 nucleotides) under uncultured bacterium. RNAcentral's name for it is "bacterial SSU rRNA". It matches the Rfam family "Bacterial small subunit ribosomal RNA", at positions 8 to 693 of the family's 1533-position model. The record is from RNAcentral.
AGAGUUUGAUCAUGGCUCAGAUUGAACGCUGGCGGAAUGCUUUACACAUGCAAGUCGAACGGCAGCACGGGAGCUUGCUCCUGGUGGCGAGUGGCGAACGGGUGAGUAAUAUAUCGGAACGUGCCCAGUAGUGGGGGAUAGCCCGGCGAAAGCCGGAUUAAUACCGCAUACGACCUGUGGGUGAAAGCGGGGGACCUGGGGUAACCUGGGCCUCGCGCGAUGGGAGCGGCCGAUAUCGGAUUAGCUAGUUGGUGGGGUAAAGGCCUACCAAGGCGACGAUCCGUAGCGGGUCUGAGAGGACGACCCGCCACACUGGAACUGAGACACGGUCCAGACUCCUACGGGAGGCAGCAGUGGGGAAUUUUGGACAAUGGGCGCAAGCCUGAUCCAGCCAUUCCGCGUGAGUGAAGAAGGCCUUCGGGUUGUAAAGCUCUUUCAGCAGGAACGAAACGGUGGGUCUUAAUACGGCCUGCUAAUGACGGUACCUGCAGAAGAAGCACCGGCUAACUACGUGCCAGCAGCCGCGGUAAUACGUAGGGUGCGAGCGUUAAUCGGAAUUACUGGGCGUAAAGCGUGCGCAGGCGGCGACAUAAGACAGAUGUGAAAUCCCCGGGCUCAACCUGGGAACGGCGCUUGUGACUGUGUGGCUAGAGUGUAGCAGAGGGGGGUGGAAUUCCACGUGUAGCAGUGAAAUGCGUAG